Molecule: non-coding RNA, 93 nt
Organism: Gaertneriomyces semiglobifer
Lineage: Eukaryota; Fungi; Chytridiomycota; Chytridiomycetes; Spizellomycetales; Spizellomycetaceae
Source: the annotation of a GenBank genome assembly
UCCUCCGUAGCUUAGCUGGUCAGAGCGCCGUACUUAUAGAUAAGAACUAUCUAUGCCAUGCGGAGGUCGGCGGUUCAAAUCUGCCCGGAGGAA